Molecule: ribosomal RNA, 253 nt
Filed under: uncultured bacterium
Lineage: Bacteria
Description: partial 16S ribosomal RNA
Rfam family: Bacterial small subunit ribosomal RNA
Source: RNAcentral
UACGUAGGGUGCGAGCGUUAAUCGGAAUUACUGGGCGUAAAGCGUGCGCAGGCGGUGAUGUAAGACCGAUGUGAAAUCCCCGGGCUUAACCUGGGAACUGCAUUGGUGACUGCAUCGCUCGAGUAUGGCAGAGGGGGGUAGAAUUCCACGUGUAGCAGUGAAAUGCGUAGAGAUGUGGAGGAACACCGAUGGCGAAGGCAGCCCCCUGGGUCAAAACUGACGCUCAUGCACGAAAGCGUGGGGAGCAAACAGG